CCCUUAGAUGUUCUGGGCCGCGCGCGCUCCACUGAUGCAUUCAACGAGCCUAUCCUUGACCGACAGGUCCGGGUAAUCUUUGAAUCUGCAUCGUGACGGGGAUAGAUUAUUGCAAUUAUUAAUCUUCAACGAGGAAUGCCUAGUAGGCGCAAGUCAUCAGCUUGCGUCGAUUACGUCCCUGCCCUUUGUACACACCGCCCGUCGCUCCUACCGAUUGGGUGUGCUGGUGAAAUGUUCGGAUCGGCCGUUUGUCGCGGUUUCCGCGUCAUGUGGCUGAGAAGUUCAUUAAACCCUCCCACCUAGAGGAAGGAGAAGUCGUAACA
This 323-nucleotide ribosomal RNA is filed under the name uncultured eukaryote. RNAcentral describes it as "partial 18S ribosomal RNA". It matches the Rfam family "Eukaryotic small subunit ribosomal RNA", at positions 1470 to 1796 of the family's 1831-position model. The record is from RNAcentral.